GAUGAACGCUGGCGGCGUGCCUAAUACAUGCAAGUCGAGCGAACAGACGAGGAGCUUGCUCCUCUGACGUUAGCGGCGGACGGGUGAGUAACACGUGGAUAACCUACCUAUAAGACUGGGAUAACUUCGGGAAACCGGAGCUAAUACCGGAUAAUAUAUUGAACCGCAUGGUUCAAUAGUGAAAGACGGUUUUGCUGUCACUUAUAGAUGGAUCCGCGCCGCAUUAGCUAGUUGGUAAGGUAACGGCUUACCAAGGCAACGAUGCGUAGCCGACCUGAGAGGGUGAUAGGCCACACUGGAACUGAGACACGGUCAAGACGCCUACGGGAGGCAGCAGUAGGGAAUCUUCCGCAAUGGGCGAAAGCCUGACGGAGCAACGCCGCGUGAGUGAUGAAGGUCUUCGGAUCGUAAAACUCUGUUAUUAGGGAAGAACAAAUGUGUAAGUAACUAUGCACGUCUUGACGGUACCUAAUCAGAAAGCCACGGCUAACUACGUG
RNAcentral lists this ribosomal RNA (497 nucleotides) under uncultured bacterium. Its description in RNAcentral is "partial 16S ribosomal RNA". It matches the Rfam family "Bacterial small subunit ribosomal RNA", at positions 28 to 507 of the family's 1533-position model. The record is from RNAcentral.